AUACGUAGGGAGCGAGCGUUGUCCGGAAUUACUGGGCGUAAAGGGCGCGUAGGCGGCGCUUCAAGUCGUCUGUCAAAUGGGAGGGCUUAACCCUUUUUCGCAGACGAAACUGGAGAGCUUGAGAAGCAGAGAGGCAAACAGAAUUCCUGGUGUAGCGGUGAAAUGCGUAGAUAUCAGGAAGAAUACCAGUGGCGAAGGCGGUUUGCUGGCUGCAUACUGACGCUGAAGCGCGAAAGCCAGGGGAGCGAACGGGAUUAGAUACCCCGGUAGUCCUGGCAGUAAACGAUGUAUGCUGAGUGUGAGACUAGCGAUAGUUUCGUGCCGAAGUUAACGCGAUAAGCAUACCGCCUGGGGAGUACGGUCGCAAGAUUGAAACUCAAAUGAAUUGACAGGG
Molecule: ribosomal RNA, 394 nt
Filed under: uncultured bacterium
Lineage: Bacteria
Description: partial 16S ribosomal RNA
Rfam family: Bacterial small subunit ribosomal RNA
Source: RNAcentral